UAGUCCACGCCGUAAACGAUGUCUACUAGCCGUUGGGAGACUUGAUUUCUUAGUGGCGCAGCUAACGCACUAAGUAGACCGCCUGGGGAGUACGGCCGCAAGGUUAAAACUCAAAUGAAUUGACGGGGGCCCGCACAAGCGGUGGAGCAUGUGGUUUAAUUCGAUGCAACGCGAAGAACCUUACCAGGUCUUGACAUCCUGAAAACUUUCUAGAGAUAGAUUGGUGCCUUCGGGAAUUCAGUGACAGGUGCUGCAUGGCUGUCGUCAGCUCGUGUCGUGAGAUGUUGGGUUAAGUCCCGUAACGAGCGCAACCCUUAUUCUUAGUUGCCAGCACAUAAUGGUGGGGACUCUAGGAAGACUACCGGCGUAAGCCGUGAGGAAGUGGGGACGACGUCAAAUCAUCAUGGCCUUUAUGCCUAGGGCUACACACGUGCUACAAUGGUGCAUACAGCGGGUAGCGAAAUCGCGAGGUGGAGCUAAUCUUGUAAAGUGCAUCCC
Molecule: ribosomal RNA, 498 nt
Filed under: uncultured bacterium
Lineage: Bacteria
Description: bacterial SSU rRNA
Rfam family: Bacterial small subunit ribosomal RNA
Source: RNAcentral